RNAcentral lists this ribosomal RNA (248 nucleotides) under uncultured Anaerovorax sp. RNAcentral's name for it is "partial 16S ribosomal RNA". It matches the Rfam family "Bacterial small subunit ribosomal RNA", at positions 524 to 772 of the family's 1533-position model. The record is from RNAcentral. Lineage: Bacteria; Bacillati; Bacillota; Clostridia; Peptostreptococcales; Anaerovoracaceae.
UACGUAGGGGGCGAGCGUUAUCCGGAAUUAUUGGGCGUAAAGAGUACGUAGGUGGUUUUGUAAGCGCGGGGUGAAAGGCAGUGGCUUAACCAUUGUUAGCCUUGCGAACUGCAAGACUUGAGUGCAGGAGAGGGAAGCGGAAUUCCUAGUGUAGCGGUGAAAUGCGUAGAUAUUAGGAGGAACACCAGUGGCGAAGGCGGCUUUCUGGACUGUAACUGACACUGAGGUACGAAAGCGUGGGGAGCAAA